CCCAGGACCCCAGGAUCACAACCCCAGCCAAAGGCAGCAGCUCAACCACUGAGCCACCCAGGUACCAGCUUUCAUAACUGUUGACAUGUUUUGAGACAUGCGGACACAAGCAAGACAGUCUCUGGAGAAGAGCUAUCCUCCCCUUUCUGCAUGGAUUCAGCAGCUCAAACUAUCAGGAGGCAGCUCUGGAGGCAGAUCUGUUGCUGUCUCACAGGAGAAUGUGGAAAGAGUGGCACUCCUGUGUCACAUUCCAGUGCGUUAUUGGUCAUCAGGCAUCAUUUGAGGGAGAGAGUUAUCGACACGGGAGAAGAACAAAACUAGAUGCUCCAUGGCAUGUGCAACUAACCGAUGGGCUUGUGAACACAUGCCCACAAGAUUUUCUAGGAGCUGAAGGUCCUAUGGAGACAUGAAAUGACAAGAUGGAGCCAAGUUUGUGUCAGUUUCACCUAAAUUUAGCAAGUCCUAGGGAAGUUUAACCAGUAUGAACAUCGUUCCUCUAAGGACCCCUCUCAAACUCCAGCAAAGUGAGAAGAACAGGAGUUCUUCCUGUAUUGGCCAAGUGUCUCCAAUGUUGACUAGAGAAAUGUUUAUUUAACUGCUAAGAUGUCUAACUGUCCCUACAAAAAUAAGGAAGUAUAAAAGAUCCAAGUAUGGGAAGCUGAGGUCCUGCCAUAAAUAUUUACACAUGUAAAUAUUAUUACAUCAAUUCAUAGCAUCUCUUGAGACAAUGCAAGAUAUUUCAAUUGAACAAUUCUACAAUUAAAAAAAUGUUUAAAUUAGAUGUAAA
This is a long non-coding RNA of Canis lupus familiaris (dog), 787 nucleotides long. RefSeq lists it as uncharacterized. NCBI's taxonomy places the organism in Eukaryota, Metazoa, Chordata, Mammalia, Carnivora, Canidae. The transcript is spliced from 2 exons. The record is from RefSeq and is a predicted model, not a curated record.